Molecule: ribosomal RNA, 497 nt
Filed under: uncultured bacterium
Lineage: Bacteria
Description: partial 16S ribosomal RNA
Rfam family: Bacterial small subunit ribosomal RNA
Source: RNAcentral
GAUGAACGCUGGCGGCGUGCCUAAUACAUGCAAGUCGAGCGAACGGACGAGAAGCUUGCUUCUCUGAUGUUAACGGCGGACGGGUGAGUAACACGUGGAUAACCUACCUAUAAGACUGGGAUAACUUCGGGAAGCCGGAGCUAAUACCGGAUAAUAUUUUGAACCGCAUGGUUCAACAGUGAAAGACGGUCUUGCUGUCACUUAUAGAUGGAUCCGCGCUGCAUUAGCUAGUUGGUAAGGUAACGGCUUACCAAGGCAACGAUGCAUAGCCGACCUGAGAGGGUGAUCGGCCACACGGGAACUGAGACACGGUCCAGACUCCUACGGGAGGCAGCAGUAGGGAAUCUUCCGCAAUGGGCGAAAGCCUGACGGAGCAACGCCGCGGGAGUGAUGAAGGUCUUCGGAUCGUAAAACUCUGUUAUUAGGGAAGAACAUAUGUGUAAGUAACUGUGCACAUCUUGACGGUACCUAAUCAGAAAGCCACGGCUAACUACGUG